UGGGGGAUAUUGCACAAUGGGCGAAAGCCUGAUGCAGCGACGCCGCGUGGGGGAUGAAGGCCUUCGGGUUGUAAACUUCUUUUGCUCUGAACAAGGCAUGCCUUUGGGGUGUGUUGAGUGUAGGGGUUGAUUAGCGCCGGCUAACUACGUGCCAGCAGCCGCGGUAAUACGUAGGGCGCGAGCGUUGUCCGGAAUUAUUGGGCGUAAAGGGCUUGUAGGUGGAUGGUUGCGUCUGUCGUGAAAGCUCAUGGCUUAACUGUGGGUUUGCGGUGGGUACGGGCUGGCUUGAGUGCAGUAGGGGAGGCUGGAAUUCCUGGUGUAGCGGUGGAAUGCGCAGAUAUCAGGAGGAAUACCGGUGGCGAAGGCGGGUCUCUGGGCUGUUACUGACGCUGAGGAGCGAAAGCGUGGGGAGCGAACAGG
This 420-nucleotide ribosomal RNA is filed under the name Fusobacteriota bacterium. Its description in RNAcentral is "Fusobacteria bacterium partial 16S ribosomal RNA". It matches the Rfam family "Bacterial small subunit ribosomal RNA", at positions 355 to 776 of the family's 1533-position model. The record is from RNAcentral. Lineage: Bacteria; Fusobacteriati; Fusobacteriota.